UACGUAGGGGGCAAGCGUUGUCCGGAUUUAUUGGGCGUAAAGAGCGUGUAGGCGGUUUGGUAGGUCCGUUGUGAAAACUCGAGGCUCAACCUCGAGACGCCGAUGGAAACCAUCAGACUAGAGUCCGGAAGAGGAGAGUGGAAUUCCUGGUGUAGCGGUGAAAUGCGCAGAUAUCAGGAGGAACACCAAUAGCGAAGGCAGCUCGCUGGGACGGUACUGACGCUAAGGCGCGAAGGCGUGGGGAGCGAACAGG
Molecule: ribosomal RNA, 253 nt
Filed under: uncultured bacterium
Lineage: Bacteria
Description: partial 16S ribosomal RNA
Rfam family: Bacterial small subunit ribosomal RNA
Source: RNAcentral